Molecule: ribosomal RNA, 253 nt
Filed under: uncultured bacterium
Lineage: Bacteria
Description: partial 16S ribosomal RNA
Rfam family: Bacterial small subunit ribosomal RNA
Source: RNAcentral
GACGUAGGGCGCGAGCGUUGUCCGGAUUUAUUGGGCGUAAAGAGCUCGUAGGCGGCUCGUUGCGUCGGCUGUGAAAACCCGCAGCUCAACUGUGGGCUUGCAGCCGAUACGGGCGGGCUGGAGUUCGGUAGGGGAGACUGGAAUUCCCGGUGUAGCGGUGAAAUGCGCAGAUAUCGGGAGGAACGCCAAUGGCGAAGGCAGCUCGCUGGGACGGUACUGACGCUGAGGCGCGAAAGCGUGGGGAGCAAACAGG